AGAGUUUGAUCCUGGCUCAGAAUGAACGUUGGCGGCGUGGAUUAGGCAUGCAAGUCGCACGCUUUAUGUAGCAAUACAUGAAGAGUGGCGUAAGGGAGAGUAAUGCAUGGUUAGCUACCCCCGGGACUGGGAUAGCGGCGGGAAACUGCCGGUAAUACCAGAUGACAUCUUCGGAUCAAACGUGUAAAUCGGCCCGGGGAGGUGACCAUGUCCUACCAGCUAGUUGGCGGUGUAACGGACCACCAAGGCUAAGACGGGUAUGGGGCGUGAGAGCGUGCCCCCACUCACUGGGACUGAGACACUGCCCAGACACCUACGGGUGGCUGCAGUCGAGAAUCUUCGGCAAUGGGCGCAAGCCUGACCGAGCGACGCCGCGUGCGGGAUGAAGGCCUUCGGGUUGUAAACCGCUGUCGUAGGGGAGGAAGGUCUGGUGUAUAGCCAGGCUUGACCGAUCCUAGGAGGAAGGGCCGGCUAAUCUCGUGCCAGCAGCCGCGGUAAUACGAGAGGCCCAAACGUUAUUCGGAAUUACUGGGCUUAAAGAGUUCGUAGGCGGUAUGACAAGUAGGGUGUGAAAGCCCUCGGCUUAACCGAGGAAUUGCGCUCUAAACUGUCGUACUUGAGGAACCUAGAGGUGAGCAGAACUGAUGGUGGAGCGGUGAAAUGCGUUGAUAUCAUCAGGAAUACCGGAGGCGAAGGCGGCUCACUGGGGGUUUUCUGACGCUGAGGAACGAAAGCCAGGGUAGCGAACGGGAUUAGAUACCCUAGUAGUCC
This 771-nucleotide ribosomal RNA is filed under the name uncultured bacterium. Its description in RNAcentral is "bacterial SSU rRNA". It matches the Rfam family "Bacterial small subunit ribosomal RNA", at positions 8 to 796 of the family's 1533-position model. The record is from RNAcentral.